GAUGAACGCUGGCGGCGUGCCUAAUACAUGCAAGUCGAGCGAACAGACGAGGAGCUUGCUCCUCUGACGUUAGCGGCGGACGGGUGAGUAACACGUGGAUAACCUACCUAUAAGACUGGGAUAACUUCGGGAAACCGGAGCUAAUACCGGAUAAUAUAUUGAACCGCAUGGUUCAAUAGUGAAAGACGGUUUUGCUGUCACUUAUAGAUGGAUCCGCGCCGCAUUAGCUAGUUGGUAAGGUAACGGCUUACCAAGGCAACGAUGCGUAGCCGACCUGAGAGGGUGAUCGGCCACACUGGAACUGAGACACGGUCCAGACUCCUACGGGAGGCAGCAGUAGGGAAUCUUCCGCAAUGGGCGAAAGCCUGACGGAGCAACGCCCGUGAGUGAUGAAGGUCUUCGGAUCGUAAAACUCUGUUAUUAGGGAAGAACAAAUGUGUAAGUAACUAUGCACGUCUUGACGGUACCUAAUCAGAAAGCCACGGCUAACUACGUG
This 496-nucleotide ribosomal RNA is filed under the name uncultured bacterium. Its description in RNAcentral is "partial 16S ribosomal RNA". It matches the Rfam family "Bacterial small subunit ribosomal RNA", at positions 28 to 507 of the family's 1533-position model. The record is from RNAcentral.